RNAcentral lists this ribosomal RNA (1385 nucleotides) under Actinomycetes bacterium. Its description in RNAcentral is "bacterial SSU rRNA". It matches the Rfam family "Bacterial small subunit ribosomal RNA". The record is from RNAcentral. Lineage: Bacteria; Bacillati; Actinomycetota; Actinomycetes.
GUCGAGCGGUAAGGCCCUUCGGGGUACACGAGCGGCGAACGGGUGAGUAACACGUGGGUGAUCUGCCUUGCACUCUGGGAUAAGCCUGGGAAACUGGGUCUAAUACCGGAUAUGAGCCUGGACUGCAUGGUCUGGGUUGGAAAGGUUUACUGGUGCGAGAUGGGCCCGCGGCCUAUCAGCUUGUUGGUGAGGUAACGGCUCACCAAGGCGACGACGGGUAGCCGACCUGAGAGGGUGACCGGCCACACUGGGACUGAGACACGGCCCAGACUCCUACGGGAGGCAGCAGUGGGGAAUAUUGCACAAUGGGCGCAAGCCUGAUGCAGCGACGCCGCGUGAGGGAUGACGGCCUUCGGGUUGUAAACCUCUUUUGACAGGGACGAAGCGCAAGUGACGGUACCUGUAGAAGAAGCACCGGCCAACUACGUGCCAGCAGCCGCGGUAAUACGUAGGGUGCGAGCGUUGUCCGGAAUUCUGGGGCGUAUAGAGCUUGUAGGCGGUCUGUCGCGUCGAUUGUGAAAACUUGCAGCUCAACUGCAAGCUUGCAGUCGAUACGGGCAGACUAGAGUACUGCAGGGGAGACUGGAAUUCCUGGUGUAGCGGUGAAAUGCGCAGAUAUCAGGAGGAACACCGGUGGCGAAGGCGGGUCUCUGGGCAGUAACUGACGCUGAGAAGCGAAAGCGUGGGUAGCGAACAGGAUUAGAUACCCUGGUAGUCCACGCCGUAAACGGUGGGUACUAGGUGUGGGUUUCCUUCCACGGGAUCCGUGCCGUAGCUAACGCAUUAAGUACCCCGCCUGGGGAGUACGGCCGCAAGGCUAAAACUCAAAGGAAUUGACGGGGGCCCGCACAAGCGGCGGAGCAUGUGGAUUAAUUCGAUGCAACGCGAAGAACCUUACCUGGGUUUGACAUACACCGGGAAAGCCAUAGAGAUAUGGCCCCCCUUGUGGUCGGUGUACAGGUGGUGCAUGGCUGUCGUCAGCUCGUGUCGUGAGAUGUUGGGUUAAGUCCCGCAACGAGCGCAACCCUUAUCUUAUGUUGCCAGCGCGUAAUGGCGGGGACUCGUGAGAGACUGCCGGGGUCAACUCGGAGGAAGGUGGGGACGACGUCAAGUCAUCAUGCCCCUUAUGUCCAGGGCUUCACACAUGCUACAAUGGCCGGUACAGAGGGCUGCGAUACCGUGAGGUGGAGCGAAUCCCUUAAAGCCGGUCUCAGUUCGGAUCGGGGUCUGCAACUCGACCCCGUGAAGUUGGAGUCGCUAGUAAUCGCAGAUCAGCAACGCUGCGGUGAAUACGUUCCCGGGCCUUGUACACACCGCCCGUCACGUCAUGAAAGUCGGUAACACCCGAAGCCGGUGGCCUAACCCUUGUGGAGGGAGCCGUCGAA